GGGGGGGGGGGGGGGGGGGGGUGGCGGGGGCGGGGGGGGCGGGGCCGGCGGGGCUGGUGGCGCACGGGGGCGUAACGCGUGGGAACCUGCCCUUAGGUUCGGAAUAACUCCCCGGAAGGGGUGCUAAACCCGCAUAAUGCCGUCCGACCAAGGACUGAGCGCCUUGGGAUGGGCCCGCGUUGGCUGAGCUAGUCGGUAGGGUAACAGCCUACCAAUGCGACGAUCCAUAGCUGGUCUGAGAGGAUGAUCAGCCACACUGGGACUGAGACACGGCCCAGACUCCUACGGGAGGCAGCAGUGGGGAAUGUUGGACCAUGGGCGAAAGCCUGAUCCAGCAAUGCCGCGUGAGUGAUGAAGGCGUUAGGGUUGUAAAGCUCUUUUACCCGGGAUGAUAAUGACAGUACCGGGAGAAUAAGCUAGGGCUAAAUACGUG
This 433-nucleotide ribosomal RNA is filed under the name uncultured bacterium. Its description in RNAcentral is "partial 16S ribosomal RNA". It matches the Rfam family "Bacterial small subunit ribosomal RNA", at positions 38 to 507 of the family's 1533-position model. The record is from RNAcentral.